Molecule: ribosomal RNA, 810 nt
Filed under: Nematostella vectensis (starlet sea anemone)
Lineage: Eukaryota; Metazoa; Cnidaria; Anthozoa; Actiniaria; Edwardsiidae
Description: Eukaryotic large subunit ribosomal RNA
Rfam family: Eukaryotic large subunit ribosomal RNA
Source: Rfam by way of RNAcentral
ACCAAGGAGUCUAACAUGUGUGCGAGUCUUUGAGUGAUCGAAACUCCGAGGCGAAAUGAAAGUGAAGGCGACUUCGGUCGCUGAGGUGAGAGCCUUUUACAAAAAAAAGGCGCAUCAUUGACCGACCUAUUCUACUCUUAGAAAGGUUUGAGUAAGAGCGCAUCUGUUGGGACCCGAAAGAUGGUGAACUAUGCCUGAAUAGGGUGAAGCCAGAGGAAACUCUGGUGGAGGCUCGUAGCGAUUCUGACGUGCAAAUCGAUCGUCAAAUUUGGGUAUAGGGGCGAAAGACUAAUCGAACUGUCUAGUAGCUGGUUCCCUCCGAAGUUUCCCUCAGGAUAGCUGGAACUUACGGCAGUUUUAUCAGGUAAAGCGAAUGAUUAGAGGUCUUAGGGUUAAAACAACCUUAACCUAUUCUCAAACUUUAAAUUGGUAAGAAGUCCGACUUGCUUAAUUGAAGCCGGACAGUGAAUGCGAGUUCCUAGUGGGCCAUUUUUGCUAAGCAGAACUGGCGAUGCGGGAUGAACCGAACGCGCGGUUAAGGUGCCAAAGUCGACGCUCAUCAGACCCCACAAAAGGUGUUGGUUGCUCUAGACAGCAGGACGGUGGCCAUGGAAGUUGGAAUCCGCUAAGGAGUGUGUAACAACUCACCUGCCGAAGCAACUAGCCCUGAAAAUGGAUGGCGCUCAAGCGUCGCACCUAUACCGUGCCGUCGGAGCAGAUGCGAAGCUCCGACGAGUAGGAGGGCGUGGGGGUCGUGACGCAGCCUCUGGCGCGAGCCUGGGUGAAACGGCCUCCAGUGCAGAUCUUGGU